AAUUCAUCUUUCAGGUGUAGCUUUAAGAUAUUGAAGAAUCUUAUAUACUGCAUUUAGAUGCUAUACUUUCGGAUCAUGCAUAAAUUGACUAACCUAAUCGCAUAAGCAACAUCUAGCCUCAUAUGAGAUAGGUAAAUCAGUCUUCCCAUAAGUCUUUGAUAUCUGUCCUUAUCAACUGCUCCUUCCCUUUUGCAUAGCUU
RNAcentral lists this long non-coding RNA (200 nucleotides) under Elaeis guineensis (African oil palm). RNAcentral's name for it is "long non-coding RNA (EGUI_LNC072298)". Lineage: Eukaryota; Viridiplantae; Streptophyta; Magnoliopsida; Arecales; Arecaceae. The record is from RNAcentral.